AUCGCAGGGCAAGAUUGCUGAGCAGCCUUGGGCUCACUGUCAGGGUGUGAGGGCUGGCUUUGCCCCCCUCCCCAGCAGCUUUUGCAGCACCCAAAAAAAUCCCCCAGUACAAAAGCCUGGAGCAGAAUUUGCCUGAUGAAUCUCUCUUCAGCCCCACAGCUCCUCAGUACCCGGGGUCUGUCUGGUUUCCCCGGGUAGGAGGCACCUCUCCUUUGCCCAGCUGAAAAUUCGGGCUGAGUUUUCACUCCGGCCUGACCCAACCUCUCCUCCUGGGGAACUUCAUGCUGCCCCCAGGGUGGUUUUAGCUCCAUCCAGGGCCCUGGCCUGGUGCAGAGCCGAGUGCUGCUUCUUCCUCAUCCUCGCCUGUGUCUGGCGCAGCCCUGCCUCACUGCCGCAACCCCACAUCUGCUGGAAUGAGCUGUGGCAGCCCCGGAUCUGCAGGACAUGCUGCCCUGAGCGGACAAUGCACCCCGCCAGCUUCUGCAGCUGCUGGAAGGAGGAGAUCCAGCCCACAUCCAGACCAUCCGCCCUUUUGCUUGCCCACCUCCAGAGGAGGAAGCCAUGGGAAAGUCAUGGAGUGCAGCUGACGAUCCCUAAACCUGCAAUUUAUGCGACUGGUGUAAUCUCCGCACAACUGUAACUGAUGAAUAUGCAUCAUAUCAUUUCUAUGCACGGCAGAAAGUAACCUACUUCUGGCCCCCAGCAAACUGCGGUAGGUCUGGCUGCACCUUCCUGCAGUGCCUGCAGUGGGCAUGUGGGAUUUUGGGCAAGGUGGGGAUGCCAUGUGAAAACCCUGAUUCC
This 801-nucleotide long non-coding RNA is filed under the name Calidris pygmaea (Spoon-billed sandpiper). Its description in RNAcentral is "lncRNA (ENSCPGG00000016129.1)". The record is from RNAcentral. Lineage: Eukaryota; Metazoa; Chordata; Aves; Charadriiformes; Scolopacidae.